RNAcentral lists this transfer RNA (79 nucleotides) under Candidatus Phytoplasma sacchari. Its description in RNAcentral is "tRNA-Ile". It matches the Rfam family "tRNA". From Rfam's summary of the family: Transfer RNA (tRNA) molecules are approximately 80 nucleotides in length. Their secondary structure includes four short double-helical elements and three loops (D, anti-codon, and T loops). Further hydrogen bonds mediate the characteristic L-shaped molecular structure. tRNAs have two regions of fundamental functional importance: the anti-codon, which is responsible for specific mRNA codon recognition, and the 3' end, to which the tRNAs corresponding amino acid is attached (by aminoacyl-tRNA synthetases). tRNAs cope with the degeneracy of the genetic code in two manners: having more than one tRNA (with a specific anti-codon) for a particular amino acid; and 'wobble' base-pairing, i.e. permitting non-standard base-pairing at the 3rd anti-codon position. Lineage: Bacteria; Bacillati; Mycoplasmatota; Mollicutes; Acholeplasmatales; Acholeplasmataceae. The record is from RNAcentral.
GGACCUGUAGCUCAGUCUGGUCCAGAGCUACCGGCUCAUAACCGGUUGGUCGUAGGUUCAAAUCCUACCAGGUCCACCA